RNAcentral lists this ribosomal RNA (492 nucleotides) under uncultured bacterium. RNAcentral's name for it is "partial 16S ribosomal RNA". It matches the Rfam family "Bacterial small subunit ribosomal RNA", at positions 29 to 507 of the family's 1533-position model. The record is from RNAcentral.
AGUGAACGCUGGCGGUAGGCCUAACACAUGCAAGUCGAACGGCAGCACAGUAAGAGCUUGCUCUUACGGGUGGCGAGUGGCGGACGGGUGAGGAAUACAUCGGAAUCUACUUUUUCGUGGGGGAUAACGUAGGGAAACUUACGCUAAUACCGCAUACGACCUACGGGUGAAAGCAGGGGAUCUUCGGACCUUGCGCGAUUGAAUGAGCCGAUGUCGGAUUAGCUAGUUGGCGGGGUAAAGGCCCACCAAGGCGACGAUCCGUAGCUGGUCUGAGAGGGUGAUCAGCCACACUGGAACUGAGACACGGUCCAGACUCCUACGGGAGGCAGCAGUGGGGAAUAUUGGACAAUGGGCGCAAGCCUGAUCCAGCCAUGCCGCGUGGGUGAAGAAGGCCUUCGGGUUGUAAAGCCCUUUUGUUGGGGAAGAAAAGCAGCAGGUUAAUACCCCGCUGUUCUGACGGUACCCAAAGAAUAAGCACCGGCUAACUUCGUG